Conger conger (European conger) is the source of this 1311-nucleotide long non-coding RNA. RefSeq lists it as uncharacterized. The record is from RefSeq and is a predicted model, not a curated record. NCBI's taxonomy places the organism in Eukaryota, Metazoa, Chordata, Actinopteri, Anguilliformes, Congridae. The transcript is spliced from 3 exons.
CUGCCUCCUUGGAUUUUGAACUCUGAAUUACGUUUUGGAUCUGCCCUCUGUCAUUAAAGCCGGCCUUCACAUUAUCCCUGAGUCUGCUAGUGGUUCCCUCUGCCCGAUUCCUGACAAGUGAAAGUGCCAUAAAAGCUCUGAUGAUGGAGGUGGAGGCCCCGCGCUUGGAUUUCUCUUCCUGUAUUCGCACCGGUCGCAGGAACGCAAUGCACGACAUCAAAUGGGAUCGAAGCACUUGCAACACCAGCAAAUUGAGCAAAGAGAUGGCCCAGAUGGGCACACAAGCAGCAGGUGGACACGCACGUACAGAGGGGGGGAGCUCAGUGACAUCUCAGUCUCUGGAGGGUCGUGGUUCUGCCAGUGUGGAAGUCCAGGCAGAUGGGCAUAUUCUGCAGCCCUGAAGGAAGCUAUGAAAGAGCCAGCUUUUGGUCCACAUCACCGGCACUGCCUUGAAGAAAACUCAACACAGAACUUUAACAACAAUGUAACAUUCGAUAAUGUUGUUCCUGACCUUUGAUACCAGGUAUACAGCUUUAUUUAUCAAGGAAACGUUUAUAAGUUUGUAACUUAUUUAGGGCUCCAACAAUCCAAAAAUCCUCACACUUACAAUCCCAGGGUCUGUGCUGUCCACCUCUUGGUCACUUAAUUGUGUUGAAAGUUUUAAACUCCUUGGAAAACUAUAGUUUUUAGUACUGUAAGAAACAUACAGUGGGCCCCAGAAUUGCAUCAUUACUUCAUGCACAAUACAUUUCAUGAAAACGACAUCUGUGAGUGUUUUUCCAUCAGGCAAUUUCAAUGCAAGUUCAAUAUUUAAAUAUUAUGUUUAGGGUCGGGUGGCAUGGAUGGUGCAGUGGGUAGCACUGCCGCCUCACAGCAAGGAGGUCCUGGGUUCGAAUCCCCGUCAGCUGGAGCCUCUCUGUGCGGAGUUUGCAUGUUCUCCCCGUGUCUGCGUGGGUUUCCUCCCACAGUCCAAAGACAUGCUGGUUAGGCUGAUUGGAGAGUCUAAAUUGCCCAUAGGUAUGAGUGUGUGAGUGAAUGGUGUGUGUGCCCUGCGAUGGACUGGCAACCUGUCCAAGGUGUAUUCCUGCCUUUCGCCAAAUGUUUGCUGGGAUUGGCUCCAGCCCCCCUGUGACUCUGUUCAGGAUAAGCGGGUUAGGAUAAUGAAUGAAUUAAUGAAAGUUUAGGGUCAAUUUGACCCCACUCAGUGUUUGAAAUCUCUUAAAAACCAGUUAACCCUUUUUUAUAUUGAAACUGUAUACUGAUUUUUCUAAUUUGGUGGGAUUAAUUAAAUAGUAAAAAUACAACAAACUA